Molecule: ribosomal RNA, 831 nt
Filed under: Syncephalastrum sp. TF1TZG
Lineage: Eukaryota; Fungi; Mucoromycota; Mucoromycetes; Mucorales; Syncephalastraceae
Description: LSU rRNA
Rfam family: Eukaryotic large subunit ribosomal RNA
Source: RNAcentral
UGAUUGCCUUAGUAACGGCGAGUGAAGAGGCAAAAGCUCAAGUUUGGAAGCUCAGUGGUUUAACCACUGCGCAUUGUAAACUGAAAACAGGAUCAAUCAGGUACACCGGGUGAUAAGUUCCUUGGAAUAGGACAUCAUGGAGGGUGAGAAUCCCGUCUUUGACCCGAGUCUUAGUAUCUUUUGUAUUGGCCUGUUCAAGAGUCAGGUUGUUUGGGAAUGCAGCCUAAAGCUGGAGGUAAAUCCCUCCUGAAGCUAAAUAAUGGCGAGAGACCGAUAGCGAACAAGUACCGUGAGGGAAAGAUGAAAAGAACUCUGAAGAGAGAGUUAAACAGUACGUGAAAUUGCUUAAAGGGAAGCAUAUAAAGCUAGGAUGCGAUUGUUUUCUUCAGGUUGAGCUUUGGCUUGACUGUUCAGAAGGAUAAUCCGAGACAACAAGAAUUGGAGGAGGAGAAUAAGCCGUUGGGGAAGGUAGUCCUUCGGGAUGUUUAUAGACCCAGCGGUUCGCGCUCUUCUUUCGAUUGAGGUACGCUUUUUUUACAGGUUGUUGUCUGAAUGGCUUUAUAUGGCCCGUCUUGAAACACGGACCAAGGAGUCCACCUAAUGUGCGAGUAUUUGGGAGGUAAACCCAUAUGCGCAAUGAAAGUGACUUACCUAUGAGAGGGUCCUUGUGGCCUUUGCAAUAGGGUCGGGCAGGGACGUUUUAUACUGAACUGACUCAGACUAAGCACAUUGGAUGGGACCCGAAAGAUGGUGAACUAUGCUUGGAUAGGGUGAAGCCAAAGGAAACUUUGGUGGAGGCUCGUAGCGAUUCUGACGUGCAAAUCGAUCGUC